Hypanus sabinus (Atlantic stingray) is the source of this 527-nucleotide long non-coding RNA. RefSeq lists it as uncharacterized. Lineage: Eukaryota; Metazoa; Chordata; Chondrichthyes; Myliobatiformes; Dasyatidae. The record is from RefSeq and is a predicted model, not a curated record. The transcript is spliced from 4 exons.
UGUUAGAGAAGAACAGAAGUCUAUCAAUAUUGCAAUAACUGAGGAGAAAGAAAAUGUGGAUAAAGCAUUAACAGGAUUUGACAUCUCCUGUUACUCUUUUGGGUCAUGCUGUGAAGGAUAUCCAAUUCUUUCCACUGGGGCAAUUAAAUCAGUUAUUUUACUUCUUUGAAGAGACUAUCCAAUGCACAACAACAAUUAAGCAGGAUCCUAGCUAUCUGUUGUAACAGCUGAGAGAUGACUUAGUACCUUCCCUGAUUCGAGGAGCCAAUGUACAAACUAAUGCACAUAUCACUAAAAUCAAAACCAAUCAAAUGCCUGCUUACUAUGUUACAUCCGUGACCUCCUCCUUUUUGAGAAUCGCAAGAUCACUAUUAAGUCAGUUCAGGAGACCCAGGAAAUGAGUGAAAGACAUGCAGAAUCCACAAGGAGUUUGGAAUGUGUCCUAGCCUCUGAAAGGCGGAACCAUUGAUAACGGCUAUUGUCUCUUAGAGACGGAAUUGUGUAUUGAAUACUGUACAAUGCAUCGA